RNAcentral lists this ribosomal RNA (385 nucleotides) under uncultured bacterium. RNAcentral's name for it is "bacterial SSU rRNA". It matches the Rfam family "Bacterial small subunit ribosomal RNA", at positions 370 to 772 of the family's 1533-position model. The record is from RNAcentral.
AAUGGGGGAAACCCUGACGCAGCAACGCCGCGUGAGUGAAGAAGGCCUUAGGGUUGUAAAGCUCUGUCAUAUGGGAAGAUAAUGACGGUACCAUAAGAGGAAGCCACGGCUAACUACGUGCCAGCAGCCGCGGUAAUACGUAGGUGGCGAGCGUUGUCCGGAUUUACUGGGCGUAAAGGAUGCGUAGGCGGAUAUUUAAGUGGGAUGUGAAAUCCCCGAGCUUAACUCGGGGGCUGCAUUCCAAACUGGAUAUCUAGAGUGUCGGAGGGGAAAGUGGAAUUCCUAGUGUAGCGGUGAAAUGCGUAGAGAUUAGGAAGAACACCAGUGGCGAAGGCGACUUUCUGGACGAUAACUGACGCUGAGGCAUGAAAGCGUGGGGAGCAAA